Molecule: ribosomal RNA, 892 nt
Filed under: uncultured Brevibacterium sp.
Lineage: Bacteria; Bacillati; Actinomycetota; Actinomycetes; Micrococcales; Brevibacteriaceae
Description: bacterial SSU rRNA
Rfam family: Bacterial small subunit ribosomal RNA
Source: RNAcentral
AGUUUGAUCCUGGCUCAGGACGAACGCUGGCUGCGUGCUUAACACAUGCAAGUCGAACGCUGAAGCCUGGGUGCUUGCAUCUGGGUGGAUGAGUGGCGAACGGGUGAGUAACACGUGAGUAACCUGCCCCUGAUUUCGGGAUAAGCCCGGGAAACUGGGUCUAAUACCGGAUACGACCAUCUGCCGCAUGGCGGGUGGUGGAAAGUUUUUCGAUUGGGGAUGGGCUCGCGGCCUAUCAGUUUGUUGGUGGGGUAAUGGCCUACCAAGGCGACGACGGGUAGCCGGCCUGAGAGGGCGACCGGCCACACUGGGACUGAGACACGGCCCAGACUCCUACGGGAGGCAGCAGUGGGGAAUAUUGCACAAUGGGGGAAACCCUGAUGCAGCGACGCAGCGUGCGGGAUGACGGCCUUCGGGUUGUAAACCGCUUUCAGCAGGGAAGAAGCCUUCGGGUGACGGUACCUGCAGAAGAAGUACCGGCUAACUACGUGCCAGCAGCCGCGGUAAUACGUAGGGUACGAGCGUUGUCCGGAAUUAUUGGGCGUAAAGAGCUCGUAGGUGGUUGGUCACGUCUGCUGUGGAAACGCAACGCUUAACGUUGCGCGGGCAGUGGGUACGGGCUGACUAGAGUGCAGUAGGGGAGUCUGGAAUUCCUGGUGUAGCGGUGAAAUGCGCAGAUAUCAGGAGGAACACCGGUGGCGAAGGCGGGACUCUGGGCUGUGACUGACACUGGGGAGCGAAAGCAUGGGGAGCGAACAGGAUUAGAUACCCUGGUAGUCCAUGCCGUAAACGUUGGGCACUAGGUGUGGGGGGCAUUCCACGUUCUCCGCGCCGUAGCUAACGCAUUAAGUGCCCCGCCUGGGGAGUACGGUCGCAAGGCUAAAACUCAAAG